Molecule: long non-coding RNA, 739 nt
Organism: Saccostrea cuccullata (small rock oyster)
Lineage: Eukaryota; Metazoa; Mollusca; Bivalvia; Ostreida; Ostreidae
Exons: 3
Source: RefSeq, a predicted model, not a curated record
UAUGGAGAGCAGCAUAUAUUAAUAAUUUAAACAUCUUGUCUGAUAGGAACUCUUUUAAUAUUUUCAGAAAUGAGAUCAACUCGAAAGACAAGUUAUAUAACCUGGUUUUGAAGAUCAUGAAAGAAAGAGGUGUGGGGUUUACUCCUCUACAGGUCGGCACACUGGGGAAGAGUACAGUAAAGACUUUGUCUGAUACACUAUGGUAUCUGGAUCCUCAUGUCCCCAAGUUUGAGCAGCGUGAAAUUCAUUUUCAUUUGAAAAUUUCAGAGGAUUUAAUGAAUGGCGUGCUCAAAAGAAGAAAGAGCCUAGGAUUUCUGCCGAAGAGUUGCAUGUCAAGUUAAAUUCCCUUGUGGACAUGCUAUCAUCGCCAUAUUUUCUAAGUAAAAAAGGAGCUGAAUUGGGGAAGUUGUGCAGUAUAUUAGUGGAGGGAACUAGAAAACUGACCAGUCAGCAAGGGCCCCGCCAUGGGGUAGAAUUAAAAUGGUGCAGCUUACAGAAUGAUUAAUAAAUGUACAAAGAAAAAGCAACAGCAACUGUAUUCUUAAAAUUUCAACAUAAUUCCUGAAUAUUCAAAAACCUGAAAAUAAUAUUCUUGUAUUUACAUUAGGCAGUAAAGAAGAACUUAACAUUGAAUUUAUAUUUAAACAAUUAUGAAUCUUGUGUUAUAUAAAAUGCCAGCCUUCAAUGAAUGCAAAUAUCAUGAAGGCUUGGCCUUAACUUCAAACAAACAGCAGUUGCA